RNAcentral lists this ribosomal RNA (634 nucleotides) under Salmonella enterica subsp. enterica serovar Saintpaul. RNAcentral's name for it is "partial 23S ribosomal RNA". It matches the Rfam family "Bacterial large subunit ribosomal RNA", at positions 711 to 1260 of the family's 2925-position model. Lineage: Bacteria; Pseudomonadati; Pseudomonadota; Gammaproteobacteria; Enterobacterales; Enterobacteriaceae. The record is from RNAcentral.
AGACCCGAAACCCGGUGAUCUAGCCAUGGGCAGGUUGAAGGUUGGGUAACACUAACUGGAGGACCGAACCGACUAAUGUUGAAAAAUUAGCGGAUGACCUGUGGCUGGGGGUGAAAGGCCAAUCAAACCGGGAGAUAGCUGGUUCUCCCCGAAAGCUAUUUAGGUAGCGCCUCGUGAAUUCAUCUCCGGGGGUAGAGCACUGUUUCGGCUAGGGGGCCAUCCCGGCUUACCAACCCGAUGCAAACUGCGAAUACCGGAGAAUGUUAUCACGGGAGACACACGGCGGGUGCUAACGUCCGUCGUGAAGAGGGAAACAACCCAGACCGCCAGCUAAGGUCCCAAAGUCAUGGUUAAGUGGGAAACGAUGUGGGAAGGCCCAGACAGCCAGGAUGUUGGCUUAGAAGCAGCCAUCAUUUAAAGAAAGCGUAAUAGCUCACUGGUCGAGUCGGCCUGCGCGGAAGAUGUAACGGGGCUAAACCAUGCACCGAAGCUGCGGCAGCGAACGUAUCACUUAAAGCGAUUCAGCGGGUUACGAUUGACGGAGCGAAGCGACGUCAAAGCGUAUACAAAGUCGAGUCGGUUUAAGGAUACGUUCGUUGGGUAGGGGAGCGUUCUGUAAGCCCGUGAAGGUGGC